CUCUGGUAUCUUUCCUCGGAGCUAACUGUAAUUCUCUUUCAGAUCUCCUCUCCCUUUGUCUUCAAGUUGCUGCUCCACCGGCCAUUUUUCAGAUGUGCUAUACUUAUGUUUCAAAGAGAGUUUGCUCUUCGUUUGGUUGCAAAGCCUGGAGAUAAAUUAUACUGUAGACUCUCCAUCAAUACACAGCUUUUAGCACGUGUGGACCACCUAAUGAAGGUGGGGAAGAAUAAUUUCAGACCACCCCCCAAGGUGGAGUCCAGCGUGGUAAGGAUAGAACCGAAGAAUCCACCACCACCAAUCAAUUUUCAGGAAUGGGAUGGCUUAGUAAGAAUCACUUUUGUUCGAAAAAACAAGACACUGUCUGCUGCAUUCAAAUCAAGUGCGGUCCAACAGCUAUUGGAAAAAAACUACAGAAUUCACUGUUCAGU
This 428-nucleotide long non-coding RNA is filed under the name Rattus norvegicus (Norway rat). RNAcentral describes it as "long non-coding RNA NONRATT014988". Lineage: Eukaryota; Metazoa; Chordata; Mammalia; Rodentia; Muridae. The record is from RNAcentral.